This 498-nucleotide ribosomal RNA is filed under the name uncultured bacterium. Its description in RNAcentral is "partial 16S ribosomal RNA". It matches the Rfam family "Bacterial small subunit ribosomal RNA", at positions 29 to 507 of the family's 1533-position model. The record is from RNAcentral.
AGCGAACGCUGGCGGCGUGCCUAACACAUGCAAGUCGAACGUGAAAAGGGAAACCUGAGUAAAGUGGCGUACGGGUGAGUAACGCGUAGGUAAUCUACCCCAGAAUCUGGAAUAACCUGCCGAAAGGCGGGCUAAUACUGGAUAGAGCGAGGGAACUCGUAAGAGAGUUUUUCGGGAAAGGGAGCCCGCAAGGGCCUUCGUUCUGGGAUGAGCCUGCGUCUCAUUAGCUAGUUGGUAAGGUAACGGCUUACCAAGGCGAUGAUGAGUAGCUGGUCUGAGAGGAUGAUCAGCCACACUGGAACUGAAACACGGUCCAGACUCCUACGGGAGGCAGCAGGGGGGAAUCUUGCGCAAUGGACGAAAGUCUGACGCAGCCACGCCGCGUGAGUGAAGAAGGCCUUCGGGUUGUAAAGCUCUGUCGGAUGGGACGAACAUCUUCAUAGUGAAUAGCUAUGAGGACUGACGGUACCAUCAAAGGAAGCACCGGCUAACUCCGUG